UGGGCUUCGUUACACGCUUCUUCUGCGGCCCAUCGACCACAAGCAUAUACGGAUUCCUAAUCAAUCGAUACAUUCUCGUUCGUGUUCUUCGUUCGUCUUCGAUCGUCAGAUUCUGUAACGGUGUUUUGUGGUUUAAUCGUCUUUCUUCGUCAUACCACUACGAAUCUACCUCUUGCCUGUUCGUCUGCUAGAUCGUGAAUAAAUACGCUGUAAUCUAACCGACGCGAAUCGCUCUAUCUACACUUUUGCUGGGCGGUGCUCAUUCGUUGUGGAGGCGAGACUGCUUCGAUUCUGGGAGGCUAAAAACGUUAAGCGUGGUGGAGAGCUGAUGUGGAUGGAUCUGCUCAUGGUCGAUGUCAACGUUAAAGCUAUGUCACAUCAGGGAAGCACGGUGAGUCUCCAUAGCCGUUUCCUCUGCUUCCGGAGAUUUGUGUACAGAAAGCUGAAGCUGGAUGGGCUCAUUAUGUGGCAGUAACAGAGAGCCAUGAAGUUUAUACGUGGGGAUGGAAGGAAUGUAUACCCACAGGAAGAGUGUUUGGACAAGUAGAAGGAUAUUCGUGUGAAAUGAACAUCUCCUUCUCUGCAGAGCAAGUGUUAAGAGAGAGAAAGUGAUGAAGACAAGUCGUGAUACCACUAUGACAGUUAAAAAGUGAUCGUUCAGGUUCACUGACUCGGUAGAGACAACAAGUGAAAAUUUUGGAGAUGAUGAACACAUCUCUCGCGGCGGCGAGAUGCAGCGGAGGUUCCGGUUCGGUUAAGGCAUGUGCUUCUUCCUAGGCUGGAGAGAGGUGAUGAAUCAGAAGAUGAACAGCCAACUGUCACCUGACUUUGUAGCGCUUUGUCAAUGCUCUUGAUGAAUAAUCUAAUGAUACCCUUCCAGAUCUAAUACAGAAGGCUUUUAAGACAAGCAAAUCAUAACAGUGGAUGAUUGAAGCAACUUGACACGAACAGUGAUCCAGGAAGCUCCACUAUUCUAUUAGACUAUCGUCUAUACACAAUGGUGAAGACUAAAGGGUUUAGCUUGGAUUUGUGUGGCUGUUCAUUGGUUAAUGAAGCUAAAAAGGAAUCUUUUUGGUAGUAGUUUUGAUGUCUCAGACUCGGAUUUGACCUUUGAGAUGAAUGCUCCUUCUCAAAGGACUCGAGUAGGAAGAGCAGUAAAACCAACUCAGAAGUUGGACCAUGGUUAGAUGGACCCCUGGUGAGAAAGCUCCUUACCACCUUUAUAGGAAAUUCUACAUAAUUCUCAUUUAUUUGUUAUCUAGCAAUUGUAAACUUUGGGUUCUUUCAAAUUUAAUACAUCUGGUUCUUCGUUUCCUCUUUUCAUAA
Molecule: long non-coding RNA, 1326 nt
Organism: Brassica napus (rape)
Lineage: Eukaryota; Viridiplantae; Streptophyta; Magnoliopsida; Brassicales; Brassicaceae
Exons: 11
Source: RefSeq, a predicted model, not a curated record